GAUGAAUGCUGGCGGCGUGCCUAAUACAUGCAAGUCGAGCGGUAACAGGAGUAGUUUACUACUUGCUGACGAGCGGCGGACGGCUGAGUAACGCGUGGGAACAUGCCCCAAAGUGAGGGAUAAGCACCGGAAACGGUGUCUAGUACCGCAUAUGGUCUUCGGAUUAAAGGAUUUAUCCGCUUUGGGAGUGGCCCGCGUACGAUUAGUUUGUUGGUGAGGUAAUGGCUCACCAAGACUACGAUCGUUAACUGGUCUGAGAGGAUGAUCAGUCAGACUGGAACUGAGACACGGUCCAGACUCCUACGGGAGGCAGCAGUGAGGAAUCUUCCACAAUGGGCGAAAGCCUGAUGGAGCGACGCCGCGUGCAGGAUGAAGGCCUUCGGGUCGUAAACUGCUUUUAUGAGUGAAGAAUAUGACGGUAACUCAUGAAUAAGCACCGGCUAACUACGUG
RNAcentral lists this ribosomal RNA (451 nucleotides) under uncultured bacterium. RNAcentral's name for it is "bacterial SSU rRNA". It matches the Rfam family "Bacterial small subunit ribosomal RNA", at positions 28 to 507 of the family's 1533-position model. The record is from RNAcentral.